Molecule: ribosomal RNA, 340 nt
Filed under: Methyloceanibacter sp.
Lineage: Bacteria; Pseudomonadati; Pseudomonadota; Alphaproteobacteria; Hyphomicrobiales; Hyphomicrobiaceae
Description: bacterial SSU rRNA
Rfam family: Bacterial small subunit ribosomal RNA
Source: RNAcentral
AACCUAAGAGUUUGAUCCUGGCUCAGAACGAACGCUGGCGGCAGGCCUAACACAUGCAAGUCGAACGUGAAGCCACCUUCGGGUGGUGGAAAGUGGCAGACGGGUGAGUAACGCGUGGGAACGUGCCUUUCGGUUCGGGAUAACCCAGGGAAACUUGGGCUAAUACCGGAUACGCCCUUCGGGGGAAAGAUUCAUUGCCGAAAGAUCGGCCCGCGUCGGAUUAGCUAGUUGGUGGGGUAAAAGCCUACCAAGGCGACGAUCCGUAGCUGGUCUGAGAGGAUGACCAGCCACACUGGGACUGAGACACGGCCCAGACUCCUACGGGAGGCAGCAGUGGGGA